ACGGCUCAGUAACACGUGGCUAACCUACCCUUAGGACGGGGACAACCCCGGGAAACUGGGGCUAACAUCUGGUAGGUGAGGAGGCCUGGAAUGGUUCCUCCCUGAAAAGGCGUUGAAACCAUGCUUUUCAGCGUCGCCUAAGGAUGGGGCCGCGCCCGAUCAGGUUGUUGGUGGGGUAACGGCUCACCAAGCCAUUAACCGGUACGGGCCGUGAGAGCGGGAGCCCGGAGAUGGGCACUGAGACAAGGGCCCAGGCCCUACGGGGCGCAGCAGUCGCGAAAACUCCGCAAUGCGCGAAAGCGUGACGGGGCUACCCCGAGUGCCGUCCGCUGAGGAUGGCUUUUCCCCAGUGUAAUGAGCCGGGGGAAUAAGGAGAGGGCAAGACUGGUGUCAGCCGCCGCGGUAAUACCAGCUCUCCGAGUGGUAGGGACAAUUAUUGGGCUUAAAGCGUCCGUAGCCGGCUUGGCAAGUCUCCUGUUAAAUUCAGCGACUUAAUCGUUGAGCCGCGGGAGAUACUACUAGGCUAGGAGGCGGGAGAGGCCGACGGUAUUCCCGGGGUAGGGGUGAAAUCCUAUAAUCCCGGGAGGACCACCAGUGGCGAAGGCUGUCGGCUAGAACGCGCUCGACGGUGAGGGACGAAAGCUGGGGGAGCGAACCGGAUUAGAUACCCGGGUAGUCCCAGCCGUAAACGAUGCGGGCUAGGUGUUGAGGUGGCUACGAGCCACUUCAGUGCCGCAGGGAAGCCAUUAAGCCCGCCGCCUGGGGAGUACGGCCGCAAGGCUGAAACUUAAAGGAAUUGGCGGGGGAG
This 808-nucleotide ribosomal RNA is filed under the name uncultured archaeon. RNAcentral's name for it is "bacterial SSU rRNA". It matches the Rfam family "Archaeal small subunit ribosomal RNA", at positions 85 to 876 of the family's 1478-position model. The record is from RNAcentral.